UCUCCGUUGGUGAACCAGCGGAGGGAUCAUUACCGAGUUCCAGCAACUCCCAACCCUUGCGAACCGUACCCCAGUCUGUUCUCGUUGCUUCCGGCAGGCGGGGGGGGCCACCUGGCCCCUCCCCCUGCCGGGGGCGGCGGGCCCUCUGGACCUUUAUAUCUCAACCACUGAAACCCGUCUGAGCAAAACAAAAAAUAAUCAAAACUUUCAACAACGGAUCUCUUGGCUCUG
This 231-nucleotide unclassified non-coding RNA is filed under the name plant metagenome. RNAcentral's name for it is "partial contains small subunit ribosomal RNA, internal transcribed spacer 1, and 5.8S ribosomal RNA". The record is from RNAcentral.